GAUGAACGCUGGCGGCGUGCCUAAUACAUGCAAGUCGAGCGGUAACACCUCGGGUAACGAGCGGCGGACGGCUGAGUAACGCGUAGGAACAUACCCCAAAGUGAGGGAUAAGCACCGGAAACGGUGUCUAAUACCGCAUGUGGUCUUCGGAUUAAAGCUUCGGCGCUUUGGGAAUGGCCUGCGUAUGAUUAGCUUGUUGGUGAGGUAAUGGCUCACCAAGGCGACGAUCAUUAGCUGGUCUGAGAGGAUGAUCAGCCAGACUGGGACUGAGAACGGCCCAGACUCCUACGGGAGGCAGCAGUAGGGAAUUUUCCACAAUGGACGAAAGUCUGAUGGAGCAACGCCGCGUGCAGGAUGAAUGCCUUCGGGUUGUAAACUGCUUUUCUCUGUGACGAUUAUGACGGUAGCAGAGGAAUAAGGAUCGGCUAACUCCGUGCCAGCCGCCGCGGUAA
This 452-nucleotide ribosomal RNA is filed under the name uncultured bacterium. RNAcentral describes it as "partial 16S ribosomal RNA". It matches the Rfam family "Bacterial small subunit ribosomal RNA", at positions 28 to 523 of the family's 1533-position model. The record is from RNAcentral.